GGUUGCGUAGUCUAUAUAGGAUAUUAAAUUGCAAGUUUAAAGGAAAGGUUAGAAAUAUUUUGCAACUU
This 68-nucleotide transfer RNA is filed under the name Trigonopterus carinirostris. Its description in RNAcentral is "tRNA-Cys". The record is from RNAcentral. Lineage: Eukaryota; Metazoa; Arthropoda; Insecta; Coleoptera; Curculionidae.